This is a long non-coding RNA of Tribolium castaneum (red flour beetle), 861 nucleotides long. RefSeq lists it as uncharacterized. The transcript is spliced from 2 exons. The record is from RefSeq and is a predicted model, not a curated record. NCBI's taxonomy places the organism in Eukaryota, Metazoa, Arthropoda, Insecta, Coleoptera, Tenebrionidae.
UUUUGUAAUAAGCUCCGUUUAUCUGGUUUGGUUAAAUCGCUAUCGGUGUGGGUAGUGGCGGAAAGUUUAAUGACAAAAAUUUUGUUAUUCAUUGUGGCGGGAUGUUGGUAAUCCUCGUUAUAAAAUUAUAAGUUUGGCUCAUCGAUUUCUCGUUACUUGGGCAAAGUUGCGUUAGUCAGUUGGGGAAAAAUAAUUUGUUAAAAUUCUGUGUUGUGUUUUGAGAAUGCUAAGUAAAUGUUUACGCGCGUAGUUAGUGUGAAACCGAUAAUUUUUUGCAUGAGUGGGCGAAAUGGCAAUUAGAUCAUUUUAAAAUGGGUAAACAUAAUUUUAUGCAGUUGAAGAUGUCCGUGGGGAAUUAGCACAUUAUAUUCAAAGCAUAUGUUAAUUUUCAUUGGCCAUUGUUCCUCAUGUUAUGUUCGCAUGACGAAGAACGUGUAAAACAGUUCAGUUGUAGCUGGAAUUGUACGUGAGAGCGUGAAUGCACGUCGCAUUUUAUCAAACUAAUUAAGAUUACCGACCGGCUGCUCACAUGGCCCAUUUCGCUUCUUAUCAGUUACCAUCCUACAGAACAAAAUCAACCCAAUCGGCUUCGACAACUAAGCAACUACUCUAAAUAGGAGACUAACAGCAUCUUUCCACACUUUAUCUGCAUAACUGAUAUCGCGGUAUGGAAUUUUAGAACGCGCAUGCUUGCUGCCACCAACCCCAGUGCUAGAUUAGCUGUUGCAAUAUUUAACAGGCCAGGCAGGCAGGGUUGUAAGCUUCGCACCCCGGCACCUGAUAGCACCCCAUUGUAGCGAAGCUACUGACGCCAGAAUCGCAUUAUUUUUACUGCAACUCAAUAAACCUACAAACGAUUCA